This 474-nucleotide ribosomal RNA is filed under the name uncultured bacterium. Its description in RNAcentral is "SSU rRNA". It matches the Rfam family "Bacterial small subunit ribosomal RNA", at positions 26 to 519 of the family's 1533-position model. The record is from RNAcentral.
AGGACGAACGCUGGCGGCGUGCUUAACACAUGCAAGUCGAGCGGUAAGGCCCUUCGGGGUACACGAGCGGCGAACGGGUGAGUAACACGUGGGUAACCUGCCCUGUACUGUGGGAUAAGCCUGGGAAACUGGGUCUAAUACCGCAUAUGACUGCAUUCCGCAUGGGGUGUGGUGGAAAGUUCUGGCGGUACAGGAUGGGCCCGCGGCCUAUCAGCUUGUUGGUGGGUGAUGGCCUACCAAGGCGACGACGGGUAGCCGGCCUGAGAGGGCGACCGGCCACACUGGGACUGAGACACGGCCCAGACUCCUACGGGAGGCAGCAGUGGGGAAUCUUGCGCAAUGGGCGAAAGCCUGACGCAGCGACGCCGCGUGAGGGAUGACGGCCUUCGGGUUGUAAACCUCUUUCGACCGGGACGAGCGUGAGUGACGGUACCGGUAGAAGAAGCACCGGCUAACUACGCGCCAGCAGCCGCA